Molecule: ribosomal RNA, 421 nt
Filed under: uncultured bacterium
Lineage: Bacteria
Description: bacterial SSU rRNA
Rfam family: Bacterial small subunit ribosomal RNA
Source: RNAcentral
UGAGGAAUAUUGGGCAAUGCCCGCAAGGGUGACCCAGCAACGCCGCGUGGAGGAUGAAUGUCGUAAGAUUGUAAACUCCUGUUAGAGGGGAAGAAUAGUACCGGUUGGACCGGUAUAUGACUGUACCCUCAGAGAAAGCCCCGGCUAACUACGUGCCAGCAGCCGCGGUAAUACGUAGGGGGCAAGCGUUGUCCGGAUUUACUGGGUGUAAAGGGCGCGCAGGCGGGAUAAAAAGCCAGUGGUGAAAUCCUACAGCUUAACUGUAGAACUGCCUUUGAUACUUUUAUUCUUGAGUUCGGGAGAGAGAGACGGAAUUCCAGGUGUAGUGGUGAAAUACGUAGAUAUCUGGAAGAACACCAGUUGCGAAGGCGGUCUCUUGGUCCGACACUGACGCUGAGGCGCGAAAGCGUGGGGAGCAAAC